AUUGAACGCUGGCGGCAUGCCUUACACAUGCAAGUCGAACGGUAGAGUAGCAAUACUCGAGAGUGGCGAACGGGUGAGUAAUAUAUCGGAACGUGCCCAAUCGUGGGGGAUAACGUAGAGAAAUUUACGCUAAUACCGCAUACGAUCUAAGGAUGAAAGCGGGGGAUCGCAAGACCUCGCGCGAUUGGAGCGGCUG
Molecule: ribosomal RNA, 196 nt
Filed under: uncultured Polaromonas sp.
Lineage: Bacteria; Pseudomonadati; Pseudomonadota; Betaproteobacteria; Burkholderiales; Comamonadaceae
Description: partial 16S ribosomal RNA
Rfam family: Bacterial small subunit ribosomal RNA
Source: RNAcentral